This 253-nucleotide ribosomal RNA is filed under the name uncultured bacterium. RNAcentral's name for it is "partial 16S ribosomal RNA". It matches the Rfam family "Bacterial small subunit ribosomal RNA", at positions 524 to 776 of the family's 1533-position model. The record is from RNAcentral.
UACGGAGGGUGCGAGCGUUGUUCGGAAUCACUGGGCGUAAAGGGCGUGUAGGCGGUCCGCUAAGUCUGAUGUGAAAGCCCGGGGCUCACCCCCGGAAGGGCAUUGGAAACUGGCGGACUCGAGUCCCGGAGAGGAAGGUGGAAUUCCGGGUGUAGCGGUGGAAUGCGUAGAGAUCCGGAAGAACACCGGUGGCGAAGGCGGCCUGCUGGGCAGUAGCUGACGCUGAUGCGCGACAGCGUGGGGAGCAAACAGG